RNAcentral lists this ribosomal RNA (559 nucleotides) under Acinetobacter lwoffii. Its description in RNAcentral is "bacterial SSU rRNA". It matches the Rfam family "Bacterial small subunit ribosomal RNA", at positions 655 to 1213 of the family's 1533-position model. The record is from RNAcentral. Lineage: Bacteria; Pseudomonadati; Pseudomonadota; Gammaproteobacteria; Moraxellales; Moraxellaceae.
AGGAUGGUAGAAUUCCAGGUGUAGCGGUGAAAUGCGUAGAGAUCUGGAGGAAUACCGAUGGCGAAGGCAGCCAUCUGGCCUAAUACUGACACUGAGGUGCGAAAGCAUGGGGAGCAAACAGGAUUAGAUACCCUGGUAGUCCAUGCCGUAAACAAUGUCUACUAGCCGUUGGGGCCUUUGAGGCUUUAGUGGCGCAGCUAACGCGAUAAGUAGACCGCCUGGGGAGUACGGUCGCAAGACUAAAACUCAAAUGAAUUGACGGGGGCCCGCACAAGCGGUGGAGCAUGUGGUUUAAUUCGAUGCAACGCGAAGAACCUUACCUGGUCUUGACAUAGUAAGAACUUUCCAGAGAUGGAUUGGUGCCUUCGGGAACUUACAUACAGGUGCUGCAUGGCUGUCGUCAGCUCGUGUUGUGAAAUGUUGGGUUAAGUCCCGCAACGAGCGCAACCCUUAUCCUUUUUUGCCAGCGGGCUAAGCCGGGAACUUUAAGGAUACUGCCAGUGACAAACUGGAGGAAGGCGGGGACGACGUCAAGUCAUCAUGGCCCUUACGACCAGGG